Molecule: transfer RNA, 39 nt
Filed under: Capra hircus (goat)
Lineage: Eukaryota; Metazoa; Chordata; Mammalia; Artiodactyla; Bovidae
Description: partial tRNA-His
Source: RNAcentral
GUAAAUAUAGUUUAAAAAAAACAUUAGAUUGUGAAUCUA